UACGGGGGGAGAGAGCGUUGUCCGGAAUUACUGGGCGUAAAGGGCGUGUCGGUGGUUAGGUAAGUCAGGUGUGAAAGAUUCCGGCUUAACCGGGAAAAUGCAUUUGAUAAUGUCUGACUUGAGUGCGAGAGAGGGUAGUGUAAUUUCCACUGUAGCGGUGAAAUGCGUAGAUAUUGGGAAGAACACCAGUAGCGAAGGCGGCUACCUGGCUCGUAACUGACGCUAAUGCGCGAAAGCGUGGGUAGCAAACAGG
This 253-nucleotide ribosomal RNA is filed under the name uncultured bacterium. RNAcentral describes it as "partial 16S ribosomal RNA". It matches the Rfam family "Bacterial small subunit ribosomal RNA", at positions 524 to 776 of the family's 1533-position model. The record is from RNAcentral.